Molecule: non-coding RNA, 26 nt
Filed under: Cricetulus griseus (Chinese hamster)
Lineage: Eukaryota; Metazoa; Chordata; Mammalia; Rodentia; Cricetidae
Source: RNAcentral
AGAGAUGAGGACACUGCUGGCAGUAA